Molecule: long non-coding RNA, 936 nt
Filed under: Numida meleagris (helmeted guineafowl)
Lineage: Eukaryota; Metazoa; Chordata; Aves; Galliformes; Numididae
Description: lncRNA (ENSNMEG00000015818.1)
Source: RNAcentral
AUGAAGCUGUUAUGUUUUUGCAGUGACAAGAACAAUGCGGUUGCUGAAGUCUCAUACACUGAGCCGUGCACAGAGAACACACAAACCACACUGAUUGCUUCCCCCCCACUUCAAUGCUUUAAGUGCCUGCUCUGGAAUGCCUCCUUAAAAAGGAAGGAAUCAACAGUUUGUAAGGGAAAGGAGCAGAAGAGCAGCUGUAGGACAGGACCUCUCAAAGAAGAGCACCACGAUCCGUCAGAGCAUGAGACACUUGAGAGCACAAACUACUUCAGGCUGAACAGAAGUGUAAAAGCUGCACCAGACAGUUAUUUCCCAGUAAGAUGAGCUUUGUCCUACCUCACAGUAAACACCACAUGAAUCGCACCAUGCUUCACUCAAGGACUACCUCCAGGCAAAACCUCAUUGCUGAGGCACCCCGAAGUACCCAUCCUACUGUUCCCAUUUUCCCAGUGAGGGACACCAAGCCACCCCUUUGGAUGGAUGCCUUUCACGUAUCCAAAUCAGAGGUGAGGAGGAGGAUAUAGAUGCAGAUAGGGGCUGUUGGUGGGCAGGGGAGCUCCCGCAGGACCCCUUUGCCCUGAACUUGUAAGCAGCCUUUGGGCUUCUCAUUUGUGCACAGCCUCCCUUCCCUGGCAACAGGAAGAUGGCUUUGAUCCAUUUACCCAAAUGGAUUUCUGUUGUUCUCAACUGACCUUUUCAUACCAAAGUCUCUUGCUAAGGGAAGUGAUUUUUUUUCUUGCCUCCAUUUGACAUAACUGCAGCUCUCUGCGGACUCACACAAUUUCAUCUAACAUUGACCAUCGCUUCCUGAAGUCUUUCCAUCUGUUUCCAUCUGUAGAGAUGUUUCUCUCCCACAAACCACAGCUAAAUGCUGGCAAACUACAGGCCAAAUCCUUCAGGAUGCUCACUCACCAUGUCUUUCAUUUCUUGCUGUCA